GACGAACGCUGGCGGCGUGCUUAACACAUGCAAGUCGAGCGGUAAGGCCCUUUCGGGGGUACACGAGCGGCGAACGGGUAGAGUAACACGUGGGUGACCUGCCCUCAGCUCUGGGAUAAGCCUGGGAAACCGGGUCUAAUACUGGAUAUGACUCCAUGACGCAUGUUGUGGGGUGGAAAGCCUUGUAGCGGCUGAGGAUGGGCCCGCGGCCUAUCAGCUUGUUGGUGGGGUGAUGGCCUACCAAGGCGACGACGGGUAGCCGGCCUGAGAGGGCG
RNAcentral lists this ribosomal RNA (275 nucleotides) under uncultured bacterium. RNAcentral's name for it is "partial 16S ribosomal RNA". It matches the Rfam family "Bacterial small subunit ribosomal RNA", at positions 28 to 302 of the family's 1533-position model. The record is from RNAcentral.